This 699-nucleotide ribosomal RNA is filed under the name Periwinkle witches'-broom phytoplasma. RNAcentral's name for it is "bacterial SSU rRNA". It matches the Rfam family "Bacterial small subunit ribosomal RNA", at positions 153 to 851 of the family's 1533-position model. Lineage: Bacteria; Bacillati; Mycoplasmatota; Mollicutes; Acholeplasmatales; Acholeplasmataceae. The record is from RNAcentral.
GAAACGACUGCUAAGACUGGAUAGGAGACAAGAAGGCAUCUUCUUGUUUUUAAAAGACCUAGCAAUAGGUAUGCUUAGGGAGGAGCUUGCGUCACAUUAGUUAGUUGGUGGGGUAAAGGCCUACCAAGACUAUGAUGUGUAGCCGGGCUGAGAGGUUGAACGGCCACAUUGGGACUGAGACACGGCUCAAACUCCUACGGGAGGCAGCAGUAGGGAAUUUUCGGCAAUGGAGGAAACUCUGACCGAGCAACGCCGCGUGAACGAUGAAGUAUUUCGGUACGUAAAGUUCUUUUAUUAGGGAAGAAUAAAUGAUGGAAAAAUCAUUCUGACGGUACCUAAUGAAUAAGCCCCGGCUAACUAUGUGCCAGCAGCCCGCGGUAAUACAUAGGGGGCAAGCGUUAUCCGGAAUUAUUGGGCGUAAAGGGUGCCGUAGGCGGUUAAAUAAGUUUAUGGUCUAAGUGCAAUGCUCAACAUUGUGAUGCUAUAAAAACUGUUUAGCUAGGAGUAAGAUAGAGGCAAGUGGAAUUCCAUGUGUAGUGGUAAAAAUGCGUAAAUAUAUGGAGGAACACCAGUAGCGAAGGCGGCUUGCUGGGUCUUUACUGACGCUGAGGCACGAAAGCGUGGGAGCAACAGGAUUAGAUACCCCUGUAGUCCACGCCGUAACGAUGAGUCCUAACGUUGGUAAAACCAGUGUUGAAG